GUAACGUCAACUGUGAAACUCCUGAGCGAUCAGUUGACGUUGUGCUGUGGUGGAUCGAGUCACGAGAGUAGGCAACGUCUUUUCGACCGAACGAUGGAUUUAUAACCGCAAAUAUCACGUUGUCACUCCUCUCGGUCGGGCUUUGGUGGAUGUUCUCGGAGGUGUUCUUGUGCCGUUGAUUAUUGAUAUUUUCGGGAUCGUUGGACUUUGUGUGCUCGUCGUUGGUAGCUCCCGCUCCCGGGAAUCAUGUCUGUUUGAUUGGAUAGUAGUGCAGUUGAGAGUUUUAUUCGCUUGACCGGUUCUCCUGCCUUUCUCCGGUAUUAGUGACGAGGUUGUCCAGGUUCAGCCGAUCCACUGCAGAUUAACUGGACCAGCGGUGAAGAGUCAGUGAUAAUUUCGUUUGUCGCGCGUCUGAUUUUUCUUCGUCCCUUCGAUUUUUCGACGAGGGAGACGAGAGGUCAGGGCUGACGUCACGAAGGGGUUUAUCAUCGCUGCUGAAUACCCCAGCACAAUGGACAUUAGAAAGUACUUCAAGCACAUACGAUGGCCGAUUCACGCGGCUUCAAGUCAAUAGACCCGCUGUGGAGUGGUGGUGUACCCCUGGAUCCCGAGUACGAGGAGGUGACUGGUGUGGCCGCCUCGCUCGAUCAAAAAAAUUCAACAACGGAGUCCCUAGAGCGCGCACGAAAGAAGCGCAAGGUACUGCAGGAGGAGGCAGGAUCGCGCACACCAAGUGUACGUAGUCGUGAUGAUACACGUACACGCAGGCAUACGGAGGAUAAAUUAACAACGACUGAUCAACAGCAUCGCGAGCCUUUUGGCUUCAGGGUGGAGGAGCAAUAUGCUGUACGUGGAUUUUACGGUGAUAAUGUACAAGGGCCGUACGAGGCAUCGGCAUUCAAGCUGACGAGGGGACACACUACUGGACGUUAUCCCCAGUCAACUGCUGAACAUCAUCAUCAUUAUUAUUAUCCUGGCAGUGUGAGACAGCCUGGUGCUAGGCCAGCGCAACGUCAUUAUUAUUAUCCACGUGGGGUAUUCAGUAAUGAGACGCAGGAAGAAAUACAGGAGGACGAUGAAGCCACUCUCAGGGAGUUGCUCAUAAGUCUGCAGAAACAGGUCAGCGUGAUGAGUAUGAACUUGAGUGCCAAGCUGGAUGAGCUACAGCGGGGUGACCGCCAGCUCGAGACCACUGUAGCUCUGUGUGAAAUACGUACGCAACUUCAGGAGCUCACUAAGAGUGUUGAGUCUUGUCAGAGCGAGGUCAGCGAGGUCAAACGUGAUAUGGUGGCGAUUAAGAGUGUUAUUCUUGUUGCCUGCGUCGUGCAGCAUGAGCUGGACACUGUGCAGCAGGUGAAGGAGGAGAUUGAGGAGUUGCGGGAGUAUGUGGACAGACUGGAGGAACACUCGCAUCGCAGGAAACUGAGGCUCCUGGAGCAGGGGCUCACGUUUUUCCUCGCGUAUGCGAUAUUCGCUGCAGUCCUGGGGAUGCUCCAGUUUGGCUACAAUACUGGAGUGAUAAAUGCACCGUCAGGGCAAAUUGAGAAUUUCAUGAAAGAUGUGUAUAAAGGCAGAUAUGGUGAUGACAUGUCGGAUAAGUCUGUUAAGAGGUUGUUCUCAUUGGCAGUUAGUAUAUUUGCUAUUGGGGGUAUGGUUGGUGGUAUUAGCGGGGGCGUUAUAGCCAACAGAUUUGGCAGAAAAGGGGGCUUACUGUUGAACAACAUGCUGGGCAUCGUGGGGGCAUGCCUUAUGGGUUUUACUAAAGUUGCCAACUCAUACGAGAUGCUAUUCUUGGGUCGUUUCGUAAUUGGUAUUAAUUGUGGAUUAAAUACAUCAUUGGUACCCAUGUACAUAUCGGAGAUAGCGCCAUUGAAUUUGAGAGGCGGCCUGGGCACGGUAAACCAGCUCGCUGUUACGGUGGGCCUCCUAAUCUCCCAGGUGUUGGGAAUUGAGAAGAUACUCGGUACAAAUGAUCGUUGGCCGGUACUGCUGGGCCUUGCUGUUGUUCCUGCUAUUGCCCAACUUGUGCUACUACCAAUUUGUCCAGAAUCCCCGAGAUAUUUGCUCAUUACAAAGCAGUGGGAGGAGGAGGCACGUAGGGCUUUGAGAAGGUUAAGGGGUAGUAACCAAGUUGAGGAGGACAUUGAUGAAAUGAGGGCGGAGGAAAGGGCUCAACAGGCUGAGUCGACAAUUAAAAUGAGUGAGCUUAUAUGCAGUCCAACGCUCAGGGCACCUCUUGUUAUUGGUGUGGUCAUGCAACUCUCUCAGCAACUUUCUGGUAUCAAUGCUGUGUUUUAUUACUCCACCCAAUUGUUCCACAAUGCUGGACUGACUGAAGAGAGUGCUAAACUGGCCUCAAUCGGUAUCGGUGCAAUAAUGGUGAUAAUGACCCUAGUAUCAAUUCCCCUAAUGGACAGAACAGGAAGAAGAACUCUUCAUCUCUAUGGUCUCGGUGGAAUGUUUAUAUUUUCCAUAUUCAUCACAAUUUCAUUCCUCAUCAAGGAGUUUUUCAAUUACGUACAGGAAAUGAUUGGCUGGAUGUCGUAUCUGUCGGUUGUCUCGACACUCAGCUUCGUGGUAUUCUUCGCUGUCGGUCCAGGCUCAAUACCUUGGAUGAUAACAGCUGAAUUGUUCUCACAAGGACCUAGACCGGCUGCUAUGUCGAUCGCUGUACUUAUCAAUUGGAUGGCUAAUUUUGUCGUUGGCAUUGCUUUUCCAAGCAUGAUGGCUGUUCUCGACAACUACACAUUCCUCCCCUUCAGUGGAUUCCUGGCGGUAUUCUGGAUAUUUACGUAUAAAAAAGUACCAGAGACGAAGAACAAGACCUUCGAGGAGAUUCUGGCGCUGUUCAGGCACGGUCAUGACAGCAGGAGCAGCUUGCGGGACAGCAGACUUUAUGGGACCAUGCUAAACUGUACGAAUGCGUUAGAGGGACACAUACCACCGGCAGAGAGUGCAGCCCUCAUGGUGGCAGAGGAGAAGCCCCAUCCUGAUUCAUGUAAGGCCUGUCAACCUGACCGACAACACCCGUAUCAUCACCUGUCACUAUCAAAACUUCCAUCAACAGGGCAAACAAUUCCUCAGACAUGGCUGUAGCCAAUAAUUGUUACAUGAUAUUUAUUGACCCUUUUCCAAUGCCUCUGUGUGCCAUCGAAUUUAUUAGAGGGACUGUUGUUAUUUAUAGGAUUGUUUACAAUCGAUGACAGCCCAGGGGACACUUAGGAUCCUCUGAUAAUAUUCCACCGCAAUUUGUUGUUUUUGCAGCUGGAUCAGAACGCUCUUCCAUCGCUCCCGCUCAACCGGAAAGAGCACCGCCCCCGCUUCCCCCGCCACGCUUUCCGAACAGCGGUGUCUGACAAUGGGAAACUCCUCUUAAUAUUGGCAACUUUAUGAUAAUGAGUACGCCUAUACCACUGUUACUAAGCACCACCAGUCUCACAAUCGAGAAUCAUCUUUACGAAAUAAUAACCGAGCGUAGCAAAGCGUGCGCCACAUUCCUUCGCAACAGUUUACGUCGUCCCACCAAUGCCGGAGCUAUUUCAUGGAAUGUGGGCCCACCGGAAAUUGAAGUGAGACGUCGUAUCAGCUCCUGAAGAUAGCGUGGAUGGAAUACAAAAGCUCGGGAGAGUAACAAUUCUAAUGAAAAAAUCAAGAUAAAUAGCUAAUAACUUAAAUUUAAAAAAUCGUGCUUCACUUUUCCCAAAAAAAAAAAAAAAAAGUGUUCAACAGUUUUAAUUCAGUAAAUUUAAUCAAUCGAGGAAUGUUCGUUAUAAUCAACAAAACAGCUUUGCACUAAUUAUUUAAUAUAAAUGAAGGACGUAAUGAGACACUGACAAAUUAUUUAAUUAGUGGAAUGUUUAAAUGAAUUGUGAAUGACAAAUCUGAGUGAUUUUGCCGAGUGAAAUAGACAAUUAUCAUUCUUCGUUUAUCAUUACGUUAUUGAAAUUGUUGGAAGACUGGGAAAUUAUCGUGGAGAGGGGGGGGGUGAUAUUGUGGGUGUAACGGAAGGUUACCGACGAUUGAGGAAAUAUUAUUGAUGGAGAUAAAAUUUAUUGCUCAGAAUUUAAUUAGGGAAAUUGAGGAAUUGCGUUCUCAGUGAAGUAUUUUGUGCCAUUUUAAUCGAAUAUGUUUUUUAAUACUCAAUCGACUGGUUGCCUUCCAUUAUAUGUACAUAAACUUAUGUAAAUAAUUGUAUACUCUUAUUUGUAUCGUAUACACUUGUGUAAUUGAUGGGGAGAGGGAAAUGUAUAAAUGUACUAUAUUACUCAUUAAUGUGGCUAGAGUCGCCGCGGAAAAUCAUUGAUUCGAGGUAAAUUGAUCGUUGAAUGAAUUUUUCGUCAUCAUGUGAUUGAUUGUUUGUGUUCAUUGUUAAAUAAAAUUGACAGUUUCAAUUUUAUCAGUAUUAUUCGUUCGUAAUUUAAUGGAUUUGGAAUGGGGGGAAAUUCUAUUGUUCAAGUUUAUUGCUAUUAUAAAAUUAUAAAGACUUAAAAUUGUAAUGGUUAAUGAAUUCAUUCGCAAUUUCAUAUCAAUAAUCAAAGGGUAAUAUAGUACAGUUUGUAAUCAAGUUAUAACGAUGGGGUUUUCUCGGUGCACUUUCUUGUAUAUUUGGGGAGAGUAGUUGAGAGAAAGGUGAUUAAUUAUUGGAGUUGAUUAUUUUGCAUUUGGUCAAUGAACUACAAAAAAAUCGUCCCAAGAUUGAUUGAGAGGGAAAAAUCCGGUCUAUUGAUCUUCAUUAAAAUUAUUUAGUUGCAAAUGAAGAUAAAAAAAAAAAUUUUUUUCUAAUCUGUCAUUUUGUCUAAUAAAACAAAACGACGAACGACGAAUGAUGUCAUAAAAAUGUAAGAAAUUUCCGUGAAGAUUUUUGUUUUCGAAAAUAUUCAAUAAGUUAAUUUCACCCUUCCCCAACUGCUCACCAGAUUGUACUAAAAAAUUUCAACCUUCAACAGAUAAGAGUUGAAAAUGUCUCCUGAUGAAAUAACGUCUGUCUCUACUAAGCUUACGAAUAUUCUCGCAAAAAUGGGAAAACACGAUUGAUUGAGUGACACGACAUUCACUGUAAUCGAUACGUAAUACUUAAGAAAAAAAAAGAAAUCAGACUAUUCACUAGAAAACUGGAGAAAAAGGUCGGGAAAAUUUAUGAGACGCUGAGGAGAGACAUUGGAUUUUUUGCAGGAGUUGAAAAGCAAGGAAAUUAAAUCUACGAGACAGGCAAUAUAACACUUGACCCGAUUGAGAGAUUAAUAAAAAGGUUUUCUUCUGCAUUUCUGGUGUAUCCCAGUUGUCUCCGGAAGUGAAGGAAUUUAUUAUUAACGAUCUAGGAUAGGCAUUUAGGGGUAGAAAGAAAGUAUAACGUACAAGCUCGUUCAAUCGCAAACAAAAAAUUGAGGUAAACGCAUUAAAAAUUGUAGCGAAUGGGGAGAAAUUACUUUAAAAGUCCAUUUCAACCUGUUAACUGUGAAUUCAUUCCCGAUAAUAAAUGACUCCAGAGGAAAAAUUGCACACGAAUACUCUUGACGGGAGAAUUUCACAUUUAAAUUAAAAAGGCAAAAUUGAAAUUGACAUUCUGUCUUUUCGCUGCAGAGAUAAAUUUCAAAGUUGUCACUCGAUGGAUAUAAUUAAUUUAAUUAUGAAGACAAAACAAGUGCGAUUGGAUUUUUACGACAAAUAUGGCGGUACAAUAAAUUGAAAAAUGAAUCAAGUAAUGAUAGCAUAUCCGUUUAAAAAAAACAAUGAAGAUUAAUUAUUAAUAGGCUUAAAAAUCGAUGCGUGUGUGUGAAAAGUUGCUGUUACUUUUCGACUCAAAGAACAAUUGGACUAUCGACAUUCUAAUGAGGAUUACUGAAGUUGAUCAGUAUGUGAUUUUAUAAAAAUCUCGGUUUUUAUAGUCCACAAUGUGAAUUUUCCUCAUUAUCAGCGUGAAAAUGAUGGAUGAUUCGUCCUGACUCGAGAAUUUACAAUGAGUGAUACAGUGAACUAGAAUUCAAAUGAAUAAAUAUUAAAUAAUAAAAA
RNA transcript from Diachasmimorpha longicaudata, 6009 nucleotides. It is a transcript of the gene named Glucose transporter 1, with no coding region annotated. The record is from RefSeq and is a predicted model, not a curated record. The transcript has 16 exons. NCBI's taxonomy places the organism in Eukaryota, Metazoa, Arthropoda, Insecta, Hymenoptera, Braconidae.